Molecule: ribosomal RNA, 460 nt
Filed under: uncultured bacterium
Lineage: Bacteria
Description: partial 16S ribosomal RNA
Rfam family: Bacterial small subunit ribosomal RNA
Source: RNAcentral
CCUACGGGGUGCUGCAGUGAGGAAUAUUGGGCAAUGGGCGUAAGCCUGAACCAGCCAAGUCGCGUGAGGGAUGAAGGUUCUAUGGAUCGUAAACCUCUUUUAUAAGGGAAUAAAGUGUGGGACGUGUCCUAUUUUGUAUGUACCUUAUGAAUAAGGAUCGGCUAACUCCGUGCCAGUAGCCGCGGUAAUACGGAGGGUCCGAGCGUUAUCCGGAUUUAUUGGGUUUAAAGGGUGCGUAGGCGGCCUUGUAAGUCAGCGGUGAAAGUCUUUGGCUCAACCAUAGAAUUGCCGUUGAAACUGGGGGGCUUGAGUAUGUGUGAGGCAGGUGGAAUGCGUGGUGUAGCGGUGAAAUGCUUAGAUAUCACGCAGAACCCCGAUUGCGAAGGCAGCCUGCCAAGCCAUGACUGACGCUGAUGCACGAAAGCGUGGGGAUCAAACAGGAUUAGAUACCCUAGUAGUC